Molecule: ribosomal RNA, 253 nt
Filed under: uncultured bacterium
Lineage: Bacteria
Description: partial 16S ribosomal RNA
Rfam family: Bacterial small subunit ribosomal RNA
Source: RNAcentral
UACGGAGGAUCCAAGCGUUAUCCGGAAUCAUUGGGUUUAAAGGGUCCGUAGGCGGCCCGGUAAGUCAGUGGUGAAAUCUCCCCGCUCAACGGGGAAACUGCCAUUGAUACUGCCGGGCUUGAAUUAUUGUGAAGUAACUAGAAUAUGUAGUGUAGCGGUGAAAUGCUUAGAGAUUACAUGGAAUACCGAUUGCGAAGGCAGGUUACUAACAAUUGAUUGACGCUGAUGGACGAAAGCGUGGGGAGCGAACAGG